UUUGGUUGCAUUCGCUUUUAGCUUGAUAACGGUGUAAGAAUCUACAUCGAAACGUCGCUCUAUGCAAUAGAUAAGUUGCCAUCCAUACAGUUGUACGUUUCAUUUUUUAGCCACCAACUUCUGGAAUGCCGAUCAAACAAUGAAUUAUUUCUGUCUGA
Molecule: long non-coding RNA, 158 nt
Organism: Haliotis rubra (blacklip abalone)
Lineage: Eukaryota; Metazoa; Mollusca; Gastropoda; Lepetellida; Haliotidae
Exons: 3
Source: RefSeq, a predicted model, not a curated record